This is a long non-coding RNA of Trifolium pratense (red clover), 965 nucleotides long. RefSeq lists it as uncharacterized. NCBI's taxonomy places the organism in Eukaryota, Viridiplantae, Streptophyta, Magnoliopsida, Fabales, Fabaceae. The record is from RefSeq and is a predicted model, not a curated record. The transcript has 2 exons.
AACAUUAAUUGCAAAAUGAAGUUAAACGCCAAUUUUUCAAAAACAAAAAGUUUGUUACACUCCCCACAUCUAUAAAAUAUAAGUAAACAACUUAAUGCGAGUUAUUAGUUUAUUCAGAAGCUAAGUGAUAAAUCUAGGUGAAGAUUGUAGCAAUUGUUAAUGAUGAACAAGGCACACUUCCAUCUUUUCUUCAUUUUGCUUAUUCUCCUUGCUUCUGAGAUGGUGGUACAAACCGAGGAAUCAGAUUGUGAUAAUUUUGAUUGUAAUUUCAAUUGUAUUGCUGUUGGAUGGAAUUCUGGAUCGUGCGAGGGAUUUCCCAUUAAAAGUUGCUUAUGCUUGUCAGUGAGAAUUCAAUAGCUCCGCUCAUUAUGAGUGCUUGAGUAGAGAACCUUUUCAUUUUUCAAAAGAAAUUGAGGUCUCAAUUACUAUAAUUUUGACGUAUAAAUGUUUGAUUAUGUCACAAUUAUUGAAAUGGGUGCAUAAAUUUUUUUGUUUUCACUCCAAAAGUAUAGGAAUGAAGAUCUCAAUGUUUUUUUGGGGGAUGAAGAUUAUAUUAAUGAAAAUGAAAAUAAUGAUAUUGAAAUGAAAAGAAUUGUUUCAACGUGAGAUACUUGUAUUGCUUGCUUUUGUGUGAUACACUAUUAGUACAAUUUAUAAGCAUAAGCCAACGGUACUAUUAUAUAUAAAUAAGGGAAUAUCAUAAGUGUGGCUUUAUGACUAUUAUUUGGCUAAGUAUAAAACCAACUGUACUAAUAUAUAUACCCUUAUAAUCAUUUGUGUGUCAUGUUUUAUUAUGUUUAAUCUAAAAUUUCUUUAAGUGGCAUCAGUUUAUGUCUAGUUGCUUAGGCAUUUUAGAAUGGUUUGAGCCAGCUAGCGGCAAUUAUAAUUAUAAUGAUAUUUUUGUUCUGCAUUCGUGAUGUAUUUUCAAUUAAAAAAAAUAGUGAAAUUGCACCAUUUUUGUUUUA